Molecule: transfer RNA, 63 nt
Filed under: Cryptocercus shangmengensis
Lineage: Eukaryota; Metazoa; Arthropoda; Insecta; Blattodea; Cryptocercidae
Description: tRNA-Pro
Source: RNAcentral
CAAGGAAUAGUUUAUGUAAAAUAUUAAUUUUGGGGAUUAAUGAUGAGGUCUUCUUUUCUUUGA